Molecule: ribosomal RNA, 253 nt
Filed under: uncultured bacterium
Lineage: Bacteria
Description: partial 16S ribosomal RNA
Rfam family: Bacterial small subunit ribosomal RNA
Source: RNAcentral
UACGUAGGAUGCAAGCGUUAUCCGGAAUUAUUGGGCGUAAAGAGUUUGUAGGUGGCAAGUUAAGUUGAAUGUUAAAUCUCAGGGCUCAACUCUGGGGCUGCAUUCAAUACUGGCUAGCUCGAGGUAUGGAGAGGUAAGCGGAAUUAGUAGUGUAGCGGUGAAAUGCGUAGAUAUUACUAAGAACACCAAUGGCGAAGGCAGCUUACUGGCCAUAUCCUGACACUGAGAAACGAAAGCGUGGGGAGCGAACAGG